This 431-nucleotide ribosomal RNA is filed under the name uncultured bacterium. RNAcentral describes it as "bacterial SSU rRNA". It matches the Rfam family "Bacterial small subunit ribosomal RNA", at positions 354 to 776 of the family's 1533-position model. The record is from RNAcentral.
GUGGGGAAUAUUGCGCAAUGGCCGCAAGGCUGACGCAGCGACGCCGUGUGUGGGAUGAAGGCCCUCGGGUUGUAAACCACUGUCAGGAGGGACGAAUACUCGGCUUCAAAUAGUUGACCGAGGGUGACGGUACCUCCAGAGGAAGCACCGGCUAACUCAGUGCCAGCAGCCGCGGUAAUACUGAGGGUGCUAGCGUUGUCCGGAAUCACUGGGCGUAAAGCGCGCGUAGGCGGUUCUGUAAGUCGCUUGUGAAAUCCCGGGGCUCAACCCCGGGGCUGCAGGCGAUACUGCAAGACUAGAGCUCGGUAGAGGCAAGUGGAAUUCCCGGUGUAGCGGUGGAAUGCGUAGAUAUCGGGAAGAACACCGGUGGCGAAGGCGGCUUGCUGGGCCGAUGCUGACGCUGAGGUGCGAAAGCGUGGGGAGCAAACAGG